UCCCAGGAGAGUGCACCCUCUGGCCCUGGAGUCUAAGACCUCGACUUCGGCCCCCAAAACACGCCCUAGGGCACCCACAACGCGCCUGGCACAACUCGGGGUUCAGCUCAUCCUAAAACAGCACCCGCCAGUCUCCCCGCAAACGAGUGGAAGACUCCAGGGCGUCUCUCACCUUCGUGUUGACCUGCGCGGUGUGGGAGGCUGUCAGCUCUAAGAGGAAGCGAGACGAAGUGAGACAAAGUGGGCGCCCUCCGCCCUCCUGGCCCGGGGCUACCUCCUCGGUCCUGGACAGAUCCCGCACUCUGUCAGCCAGGGGUCAGCAGUGAUGUCAACCACAGCCGAGCUCUGAGGGCUCGUGAGGGGCCAGCCAUGGGGCAAAGUGUUUUUGUGCCGUCGCACGUGACCCGCACGACAAGCAGAGGGCAGCUAACCCCGGGGCAGAGACAGGAGCCCACUGCCAAGAAGGCAUGGCUGUGCCUGCAAGGCCUGGCCCAGCUCACAGGGCCUUGGGCAGGGGCUGGACCCCCACCGGCCCUCCCCCUGACACCUCGGGAGCGCCAAGGAACAGUACCCAGAGGUGGGAGCAGUGCACGGCGGUCUUGAUUUUCUCCACCAAGGCGAUCAGUCCCCAUCUUCCUGGAUUUGGGAACAGCAUUCGAGGCUACUGGCCGCGCCCUUCUUCCAACAACACGGUGCCUCUGACCACUUUCGCCGUCCUUCUCGCCGUCCCCUCCCCGGCUGGACCUCUGAGCGGCUGUCCUUCCCGGGCAGCACGCUUCCAGCGUGCCCUGCUCCGGUGGCUGGCUCCACCGCCCAUCCACGCCCGCCGACGCAUCCUGCACGCUGCCCUCUCCCUCGCCGUUCACAGCUCGGUGCCAGGCUUCAUGGCCGCGACUUUUUAAAGGCUUCUCAGCUCCGCGUUCGUCCACGCUGCUCCACCACCGCUCUGGCCCAAGCACCCAGCGUCUGGACCCUGGUCCCCUCCAAGGCUCCAGGUCAGGUGGGGGCCGACACCCGAGCCCAGGCUCCUGGGCUCCAAGCUCCUCAUGCCUCCAGGGCCCGUCUCGACGCCACCUCGCUGAGCAGGUUCGUGCCCACAGCACCUGUGUCUCUGCAGCGCUGGCCCGAGGCUGAGACUGGAUGAGCGCUGCCUCCUCCCACUGCCCACUUCAAAAGGAAGGGACACGUGGCCUUGCAGGGGUCUUGAGGGGGCCCUGGCAUAGACUGGGUGAGUGGGUGGCCCUGCCCGGCCCGGGCCAGCUCUCUCCCUACUCCGUCUACCCCAUGGCUUCUGCCAAGUGGGACUCCCUCUGUCCAGGGCCACAGUGCGAGCAGAGAAGGCUGUUGGGGAGGGGGCCGUACUGGACUCCUGCGGCGAUUGCCAGCAGCAUGGGCGUGGGGCUGUCCUGAUGGACCCUGAGCCAGAGAGGUCCGAAAGAGCCUUCCAGGGGCCUGAGCUCACCUUGACCUCAUCUGUAAUCAUCAUGGCGUCUUGGGACAUGACUGUCAUAUCCGACAGUUCCGAGCAGUAGUCCACCACGAGAUUCUGCAGCUUGUCCAGCUCUGUGGGGUAUCCUGCCAGCUCCUGGAUUGAAGGGGCAAGGCCAGGUGGGCACAGAGUCUGAUGGCCCAGGGGCUGCGGGCCAUCCACGUGCCACCCCGGCCCCUCCCUGCUUCUCUGGCGGCCCCUACAGAGGGCCUGCACCUGCCCCCCCAGCCCUCACCCAGAAUGCUAGUGUCCAAGGACAGUGGCCUGUGGCCCCGGCCCCCUGCUGGGCACAGAGCAAGUGACAGUGUUUCGGGAGGGGCACACAGCAUUUUCCUGGUGGACUCUCCCACCGCCCCAGGGACAGACAGCCUAGAGAUACUUCCGGCAACGGGUCCCACCGUGAGAGGUGACUCAAACCCAGGGAGGCCCACUGCUUGGGAGUGGCUGCUGUCUACAGUGAAGCAGAAGGGCUCAAAAUGGGUUUGAGGUCAGAGACUCGGAGUUCAAGGCCAAGGUCCCCCUGACCUUGAGCUGUGGGACCUUGGGAGAGCCGCUUAACCUGAGUGUCCCCAUCUAUAAAAUCGGUGACGAUGGCUCUUUCAGAAGGGUGCUGUCAAGGUCGACUGAGAAGGUACAGCGAAGUACUUAGAACGGGGCCAGGGUCCUAAGUGUCCAAGAUAUCUUGGCUCUUGAUGUUUUGUUAAUAACUACAAUGUGGAAUA
Pteropus alecto (black flying fox) is the source of this 2211-nucleotide long non-coding RNA. RefSeq lists it as uncharacterized. The transcript has 5 exons. The record is from RefSeq and is a predicted model, not a curated record. Lineage: Eukaryota; Metazoa; Chordata; Mammalia; Chiroptera; Pteropodidae.